Molecule: ribosomal RNA, 434 nt
Filed under: uncultured Oscillospiraceae bacterium
Lineage: Bacteria; Bacillati; Bacillota; Clostridia; Eubacteriales; Oscillospiraceae
Description: bacterial SSU rRNA
Rfam family: Bacterial small subunit ribosomal RNA
Source: RNAcentral
ACGGGAGGCAGCAGUGGGGAAUAUUGGGCAAUGGGCGCAAGCCUGACCCAGCAAUGCCGCGUGAAGGAAGACGGUUUUCGGGUUGUAAACUUCUUUUAAGAGGGACGAUAAUGACGGUACCUCUUGAAUAAGCUCCGGCUAACUACGUGCCAGCAGCCGCGGUAAUACGUAGGGAGCAAGCGUUAUCCGGAUUUACUGGGUGUAAAGGGCGCGUAGGCGGGGAAGCAAGUCAGAUGUGAAAUCCAUGGGCUCAACCCAUGAACUGCAUUUGAAACUGUUUCUCUUGAGUGCUGGAGAAGUAGAUGGAAUUCCUAGUGUAGCGGUGAAAUGCGUAGAUAUUAGGAAGAACACCAGUGGCGAAGGCGAUCUACUGGACAGUAACUGACGCUGAGGCGCGAAAGCGUGGGGAGCAAACAGGAUUAGAUACCCUGGUA